UAUUGAUUGAGCCAAACUUGUUGUGAAGCAGGGACGGAAAGCUAUGGGUCUUAUGAAAUAAGAUCGCCAAGUUGCUACA
Molecule: non-coding RNA, 79 nt
Filed under: Sulfurovum sp.
Lineage: Bacteria; Pseudomonadati; Campylobacterota; Epsilonproteobacteria; Campylobacterales; Sulfurovaceae
Description: c-di-GMP sequence
Rfam family: c-di-GMP-I riboswitch aptamer
About the family: GEMM was predicted in a large-scale screen for bacterial structured RNA regulatory elements. Genes associated with GEMM are involved in a diverse array of functions, including chemotaxis regulation, signal transduction, secretion and chitin.
Source: RNAcentral